UAACGAGAGAAAAACGGCUGCUUCUUCUCGUCCAAACUCGCAGGAAAACAGCGUGGAAUCGCUCGGAGACACUUGUGGAAACAACGACCGGGUGGCUUUCAGCCCGAGCCGGACACCGCAGAGGAGCCGUGUGGGUUCAUUUUGCAAACCUAUUGAUCAGGGGCAGUGUGUGUGUUGUCGUUCGGACACACACUCACAGUCACAGGUUGCUAGCGGAGUUAACCUAGCUAGCCAAGUUAGCUAGCUGCGGUUAGCUGUGCCUUCGCUUUUCCUGGGACUGAAAGCAGCCGGGGCGAAACUUGAAAAAAAAAAAACUGUCAGACAUUUUCCAGACAGCCUGCCGUAUGAUUCAGUCAUGAUGUGGUGUUUUUUCGGACGUGUAUCAAGUUGGCCGGCUGGUAGCAUCGGCUGACUGAAGCCUGCUGCGAGUCUCUCGGCGUCUCCGACCUGGAUUUUACUCCCGUGUGUUUUUUUUCCUCCUUUUCCACUUUGGCUGUUUUUGGCUGUUGUUUUUAAAGCGGACUUUGACCUGCGGGUGUUGUAACUCACCCCCUUCUAUUAAGUAAAAAGCCUCUAUUGAUUCUUCUGUUGGAGUUUUUCAAAACUUGGCUGGACGUCUCUUUUUUUUUCUGGAGGUAAAAAAGUUGUUGGGAAGUUGAGGAGGUUUUUUUUUUUUUUCCGAGCCUGUGGAAAAAUGGAUGCGGGUAUAGAGAAGGAAUGCAGCGCCUUGGGAGGGCUCUUCCAGCUCAUCAUGAACGACAUGAAGGCCAGUUAUCCUACAUGGGAGGACUUUGUAACCAAAGGAGCAAAGCUACAAUCGCAGCUCAGGACGACCAUCGUGGUGACCGGAGCUUUCCUGGACGCUUUUCAGAAGGUCGCAGACAUGGCGACUGGAACCAGAGGUGAACACACACACACACACACACACACACACACACACACACA
Long non-coding RNA from Stegastes partitus (bicolor damselfish), 945 nucleotides. RefSeq lists it as uncharacterized. The transcript is spliced from 3 exons. NCBI's taxonomy places the organism in Eukaryota, Metazoa, Chordata, Actinopteri, Pomacentridae. The record is from RefSeq and is a predicted model, not a curated record.